This 857-nucleotide long non-coding RNA is filed under the name Calidris pugnax (ruff). RNAcentral's name for it is "lncRNA (ENSCPUG00000017279.1)". Lineage: Eukaryota; Metazoa; Chordata; Aves; Charadriiformes; Scolopacidae. The record is from RNAcentral.
AAAAGCUUUCCCUACCCCCUGCAUCUGUCCUCUCCAUCCCAGUCUCCAUGAUGCUCUGCUGGACCUUGACCUGCUGGGUGACUGGCUUACAAUGCAGCUGGGCUACCUUCACACUGGACCAGAUCAAGUGGUGGAGGCAGAGAGCAGGGGUUAUGGAGGACAGUCGGUGUGGACAGAAGCAUUUUGGCUCAGGCAGAGUGACUUUGGAUGGAAACGACUUGGCAGUGCUUCUCCUCAGCGUGGAAGACCAGGAGCAUCCCACCCUGGAGCUGGCACACCCACCACAGGGGUGACCAGGAUGUCUGAGCCAUGAUGCCCUGUCCCAACAAAAGAGGGGGCUCCCUCUGUCCCUGGGCAGCACGUCUCCCAUCUGGAGAUGAUGGCACGCAGUGGAGUCGUCCCACUCCUGGCUGGCAGAAAGCAGCGUUGAAAAGCCUCGCUGAGAUGUCCUCCUGGCUUAGUGUGGUCGUGGGACCUCCUGCAUCCCCAUCUGCAGACUCAGCCAGCAUUGCUUUCGCUUGCAGCUUUGGCUGCUGCUUGUGAUGACUUACAGCCUUUUUCAAGCUGGCUUUUAUUUUUAAUUACAUUUUGCCUCUGAAGAGGGGCUGCUUUGGUGGUUUGUUUUUUUUCUCUGCUUUUUAAAAUUUUUUUUUCUCUUUUCCCUUCUAAAGGCCAACAGAGUUUAGGCUUCUUCAGAAAUUGCUUCAGCUUGUAGGAAGGUGCAGAGCCUUUUCCCUGGGUAGCAAAGUGUUGAUUUCCUACCACAGGGCUGAGUGAUGGUGAUUCCCUUAUUAAACUGCACUUAGAGGCAACGACUGUCAGGCAGGGAUGGAGAGCUUCUCCGAUAAGUUGGAGCU